AGAACGAACGCUGGCGGCAUGCCUAACACAUGCAAGUCGAACGAACCCUUCGGGGUUAGUGGCGCACGGGUGCGUAACGCGUGGGAACCUACCAUCAGGUUCGGAAUAACAGUUAGAAAUGACUGCUAAUACCGGAUAAUGUCUUCGGACCAAAGAUUUAUCGCCUUUUGAUGGGCCCGCGUUGGAUUAGCUAGUUGGUAAGGUAAAAGCUUACCAAGGCGACGAUCCAUAGCUGGUCUGAGAGGAUGAUCAGCCACACUGGGACUGAGACACGGCCCAGACUCCUACGGGAGGCAGCAGUGGGAAUAUUGGACAAUGGGCGAAAGCCUGAUCCAGCAAUGCCGCGUGAGUGAUGGAAGGCCGUUAGGGUUGUUAAAGCUUCGUUUUACGUGGGGAUGAUAAUGACAGUACCCAGAAGAAUAAGCUACCGGCUAACUCCGUACGACCAGCACGCCGAC
RNAcentral lists this ribosomal RNA (458 nucleotides) under uncultured soil bacterium. RNAcentral's name for it is "bacterial SSU rRNA". It matches the Rfam family "Bacterial small subunit ribosomal RNA", at positions 26 to 522 of the family's 1533-position model. The record is from RNAcentral.